This 212-nucleotide ribosomal RNA is filed under the name uncultured Streptococcus sp. RNAcentral describes it as "partial 16S ribosomal RNA". It matches the Rfam family "Bacterial small subunit ribosomal RNA", at positions 1171 to 1382 of the family's 1533-position model. The record is from RNAcentral. Lineage: Bacteria; Bacillati; Bacillota; Bacilli; Lactobacillales; Streptococcaceae.
AAGUGGGGAUGACGUCAAAUCAUCAUGCCCCUUAUGACCUGGGCUACACACGUGCUACAAUGGUUGGUACAACGAGUUGCGAGUCGGUGACGGCGAGCUAAUCUCUUAAAGCCAAUCUCAGUUCGGAUUGUAGGCUGCAACUCGCCUACAUGAAGUCGGAAUCGCUAGUAAUCGCGGAUCAGCACGCCGCGGUGAAUACGUUCCCGGGCCUU